GCUUCUGUGGCUCAGUUGGUAGAGCAACGCAUUCGUAAUGCGUGGGUCGUGGGUUCGAAUCCCAUCGGAAGCU
RNAcentral lists this transfer RNA (73 nucleotides) under Lachnospiraceae bacterium. RNAcentral describes it as "tRNA-Thr". It matches the Rfam family "tRNA". Rfam says of the family: Transfer RNA (tRNA) molecules are approximately 80 nucleotides in length. Lineage: Bacteria; Bacillati; Bacillota; Clostridia; Lachnospirales; Lachnospiraceae. The record is from RNAcentral. RNAcentral also lists the same sequence under 3 other names.